UAGUCACUGCGAUGUUGGCUCGGUUCACUCAGACAACAUUAACAACCGCUACGCUUUCUCGAUUUGAUUCGAUUUUGCGUAGCUUUCAUGUGCUUUGAUUGAGCCGUGCCAAUAUCCUAGUGCCUUUU
Corchorus capsularis is the source of this 128-nucleotide microRNA precursor. Lineage: Eukaryota; Viridiplantae; Streptophyta; Magnoliopsida; Malvales; Malvaceae. The record is from Rfam.